UAGGGAAUCUUCGGCAAUGGACGAAAGUCUGACCGAGCAACGCCGCGUGAGUGAAGAAGGUUUUCGGAUCGUAAAACUCUGUUGUUAGAGAAGAACAAGGACGUUAGUAACUGAACGUCCCCUGACGGUAUCUAACCAGAAAGCCACGGCUAACUACGUGCCAGCAGCCGCGGUAAUACGUAGGUGGCUAGCGUUGUCCGGAUUUAUUGGGAGUAAAGCGAGCGCAGGCGGGUUCUUAAGUCUGAUUUGAAAGCCCCCGGCUCAACCGGGGAGGGUCAUUGGAAACUGAGUGACUUGAGUGCAGAAGAGGGGAGUGGAAUUCGAUGUGUAGCGAUGAAAUGCGUAGAUAUAUGGAGGAACACCAGUUGCGAGGGCGGCUCUCUGGUCUGUAACUGACGCUGAGGCUCGAAAGCGUGUGGAGCAAUCAGG
This 429-nucleotide ribosomal RNA is filed under the name Chloroflexota bacterium. RNAcentral's name for it is "Chloroflexi bacterium partial 16S ribosomal RNA". It matches the Rfam family "Bacterial small subunit ribosomal RNA", at positions 355 to 776 of the family's 1533-position model. The record is from RNAcentral. Lineage: Bacteria; Bacillati; Chloroflexota.